Long non-coding RNA from Onychomys torridus (southern grasshopper mouse), 1885 nucleotides. RefSeq lists it as uncharacterized. The record is from RefSeq and is a predicted model, not a curated record. The transcript has 3 exons. NCBI's taxonomy places the organism in Eukaryota, Metazoa, Chordata, Mammalia, Rodentia, Cricetidae.
GAAAGGAACCUAGCAGGGGCGCGCGGUACAGUCGCUGAUGUGGCACUGCGUGGCACUGAGGAGGAGCAGAGGAGAGGUCGCUAGAACUCGGAACUUGCCCCUGCCCUCACCCCUUUGACAGCAGGCCUUGCAUGAACAGACUCCUCUACCAUGUGUUCCAGUCAUGAUCUUCUGCCUCAUCACAGGCCCGAAAGUGACUGAGUCAAGCAACCAUGAGCUGAAAUCUCUGAACUAAAGACACCAAAAGCAGAUUGCACAAUCAAAUGAAAUACCAGAGUCAUCUGGAGGGUCACAAAAGUCAUCUCGAGAAGCAGCCGUUCCAACUGCCCACCUCAGUUUCAACCUCUGCAGACACCCGUUCCAGCUGCUGUUCUGGAGGAAGAACUGGGUCUCAGAACAACCGGAGACAUCUGUCAUUGAGCUGUAGAAACAAAGCAUUAUUCAGGCCCCUUUUCAAUCAGGGGAGCCAUGGGCGCAUCUCCAUGUCCUUCCUUUGUUGAGUUCCUUCUGUCCUCCAUUUUCUUGUGGGAUCUCAUGUCCGUCCCUGGGCAAUGUCUCUCGUUUCUCUCCUUCCUGCCCUUGGGUCCCUGGAAGAGCAUCAGAAAAAGGGUAAAAUGCACCAGCAACUGACCAUCUCACAUUGGUCCCAACAGCUAGACAGGAAGAACGCUCUGAUUUUGUAGCAGACACCAGUGCCUUACUUUCUAGUAACAAAUUAACAUCAACCCAAUUUAACAUAUUGAUAAAGGUUUCAAUUGUAAAGAAAAAGUUUUUACUAAACUUUAAUGUAAGGGCUAUGUGAUGAAUGCAGUGUUUAGAAAGGACAUCCAACCAAAGCCACAUUCUCCAGUGAUUGGCUAGGACGAGAGUGGUGGAAUCAUUUAUAGUAAGUACUUCACUUUAUUAAACACACACUAUUGUUCUAGGACCAGAGUAUAUAGCAUUAAAUAGAUUCUACCUUCUAGACACUCCACUAUUCAUGGAGUGACCCAAAGCAUCAGUACAUAAGCUUAAAGGGAAAUACAAAAAAGUAGCUGGUGGUUCACUAAUAACUCCAAUAAGGCUAUAUGAUAAGGAUCGUUGGGGGAGGGUUGGGUUCUUUCAUUUUGAUGCCCCAGGCAUGUCUUUCAGAGCAAAAUAAUGGCACUGAUAACUGCCUUCUCUAUGUGUAUUUAUGUAUCUGCAUAACAUACAAGAGAAUUCCUUCUCCAUCCUCUUGCUUGAACUAGAAAAUGAGGAGUUCAGGGCCCGUUAUGAGUGGUAGUCAUGUGACUGCCUCAGCCCUUCUGGUGCAAAGUUUUGGAGGUGUCUGGUUCAAGCAGUUGUUGUUUUUGGUUCCUCUAAGAAUAAACAAAUAUUUGCUUCAUUUCUAUCCAACAUGAUUCCUUCAUGAAGGUCAGAAGGAGAAACUAAUAAUGGAGCUGAGAUAAAAAUUAAGAGGAAAUUAAAAAUUAGACCAGCUCCGGGAAAGUUCUGACAAAUGUUUUUCAUUAGGUCAAUCACUAAUACUCAUGCAAUCAAAAUAUAUAUUUAGCAGUCAUGAAUGUCUCUAGUACUUAACAGAGCAAUAUAAAAAGAAAAACUACCGUGGUGAUUUUCUCCAGAUUAGCUUUCCUCUUACUGAGAUUAGAUUAUCUGAAAAACACUCAUCAAUAAUGAUCUCACAGAGGCUGACUACAAGUACAAGAUCAAGCCAGCCAAUGAGUGGGGGAGGCAUUCAUAAAGCCCCACCCCUAGGUGAGGAGCUGUUGACCGCUGAUGGUUGUUGGAGAAGGAAGAGUCAGCUUUCUUCAGGAAAGUCGUCCCUCAGAAAGUGCUGAUGCUCCAACAGUAGAUGGUCCUACACACACACACACACACACACACACACACACACACACACACA